CGGAGCUAGGACUGCACAUGCGCGGAAGGAGCCAAGAGGACGGUGUGCGGAGUUCCGCGCCGAGCCAGCUGGAGACAAGGCUGCGUUUUCCAUCAACCUUGCUGCCCGACCUGAGAUGACUGUUAGGGCUUUUCUGUAUUUUAAAAGCAACUGGAAGAUUGUGCCUUUUAAACUUGAAACUGCCAAGAGAAGUCCAGCAGCCCGACCUCUGGUGCUCAACUCAAGAAACCUGAGUUGACUGACCAAUUGAUUGCAGAGCCGCAGAAGGAAAAUGGUGACAAGAGGGGAAGUGGUUGACACGGCAGAAUUGCAGUCAAGCUUGAAGAUCUUUCAGAAUUAGGUGGAAAGUGAGAACAAUGAAGUAAGAUGAUGGACCCCUGAGAAGAUUUCUUUUUUAAACAAAGGAGCUUUGGAAAACCUAAGGUGGAGGUAGAUAAGGAAAGUUUGGGGGAUGUGUGCAUGCAUUGCUGUGUGAAUAAAGCUAAGUUGCC
This 491-nucleotide long non-coding RNA is filed under the name Equus asinus (donkey). Its description in RNAcentral is "lncRNA (ENSEASG00005023569.1)". Lineage: Eukaryota; Metazoa; Chordata; Mammalia; Perissodactyla; Equidae. The record is from RNAcentral.